Molecule: ribosomal RNA, 850 nt
Filed under: uncultured bacterium
Lineage: Bacteria
Description: bacterial SSU rRNA
Rfam family: Bacterial small subunit ribosomal RNA
Source: RNAcentral
AGUCGAGCGAGUCUGCCUUGAAGAUCGGAGUGCUUGCACUCUGUGAAACAAGAUACAGGCUAGCGGCGGACGGGUGAGUAACACGUGGGUAACCUGCCCAAGAGAUCGGGAUAACACCUGGAAACAGAUGCUAAUACCGGAUAACAACAGAUGAUGCCUAUCAACUGUUUAAAAGAUGGUUCUGCUAUCACUCUUGGAUGGACCUGCGGUGCAUUAGCUAGUUGGUAGGGUAACGGCCUACCAAGGCGAUGAUGCAUAGCCGAGUUGAGAGACUGAUCGGCCACAUUGGGACUGAGACACGGCCCAAACUCCUACGGGAGGCAGCAGUAGGGAAUCUUCCACAAUGGACGCAAGUCUGAUGGAGCAACGCCGCGUGAGUGAAGAAGGGUUUCGGCUCGUAAAGCUCUGUUGUUGGUGAAGAAGGACAGGGGUAGUAACUGACCUUUGUUUGACGGUAAUCAAUUAGAAAGUCACGGCUAACUACGUGCCAGCAGCCGCGGUAAUACGUAGGUGGCAAGCGUUGUCCGGAUUUAUUGGGCGUAAAGCGAGUGCAGGCGGUUCGAUAAGUCUGAUGUGAAAGCCUUCGGCUCAACCGGAGAAUUGCAUCAGAAACUGUCGAGCUUGAGUACAGAAGAGGAGAGUGGAACUCCAUGUGUAGCGGUGAAAUGCGUAGAUAUAUGGAAGAACACCGGUGGCGAAGGCGGCUCUCUGGUCUGUUACUGACGCUGAGGCUCGAAAGCAUGGGUAGCGAACAGGAUUAGAUACCCUGGUAGUCCAUGCCGUANACGAUGAGUGCUAAGUGUUGGGAGGUUUCCGCCUCUCAGUGCUGCAGCUAACGCAUUAAGCACUC